This 516-nucleotide ribosomal RNA is filed under the name uncultured soil bacterium. RNAcentral's name for it is "bacterial SSU rRNA". It matches the Rfam family "Bacterial small subunit ribosomal RNA", at positions 26 to 526 of the family's 1533-position model. The record is from RNAcentral.
AGAUUGAACGCUGGCGGCAGGCCUAACACAUGCAAGUCGAGCGGUAGAGAGGUGCUUGCACCUCUUGAGAGCGGCGGACGGGUGAGUAAUGCCUAGGAAUCUGCCUAGUGGUGGGGGAUAACGUUCGGAAACGGACGCUAAUACCGCAUACGUCCUACGGGAGAAAGCGGGGGACCUUCGGGCCUCGCGCCAUUAGAUGAGCCUAGGUCGGAUUAGCUAGUUGGUGAGGUAAUGGCUCACCAAGGCGACGAUCCGUAACUGGUCUGAGAGGAUGAUCAGUCACACUGGAACUGAGACACGGUCCAGACUCCUACGGGAGGCAGCAGUGGGAAUAUGGACAAUGGGCGAAAGCCUGAUCCAGCCAUGCCGCGUGUGUGAAGAAGGUCUUCGGAUUGUAAAGCACGUUUAAGUUGGAAGGUAAGGUUAGUAAACUUAAGUACCGUUGACUAAACUUUGACGUUAACCGACAAGUAAAUAAGCAACGGCUAAACUUCGUGCCAAGCACGCCGACGUAAC